This 455-nucleotide ribosomal RNA is filed under the name uncultured bacterium. RNAcentral describes it as "SSU rRNA". It matches the Rfam family "Bacterial small subunit ribosomal RNA", at positions 26 to 518 of the family's 1533-position model. The record is from RNAcentral.
AGAACGAACGCUGGCGGCAUGCCUAACACAUGCAAGUCGAACGUGAUCCAGGCUUCGGCCUGGUGAAAGUGGCAGACGGGUGAGUAACGCGUGGGAACCUGCCCUGUGGUAGGGAAUAACCGUGGGAAACUGCGGCUAAUACCCUAUGAGUCCUUCGGGAGAAAGAUUUAUCGCCAUAGGAGGGGCCCGCGUCGGAUUAGGUAGUUGGUGGGGUAACGGCCUACCAAGCCUUCGAUCCGUAGCUGGUCUGAGAGGAUGAUCAGCCACACUGGGACUGAGAUACGGCCCAGACUCCUACGGGAGGCAGCAGUGGGGAAUAUUGGACAAUGGGGGGCAACCCUGAUCCAGCAAUGCCGCGUGGAUGAUGAAGGCCUUCGGGUUGUAAAGUCCUUUCGGCGGGGAAGAUGAUGACGGUACCGCAGAAGAGCCCCGGCUAACUUCGUGCCAGCAGCCGC